GAUUAUAUACCCUAGUAGUCCUACGCCGUAAACGAGUAGAAUUGGAGGUUGUGCCCUUGAGGAGUGUCUUCCGGAGUAACGCGUUAAAGUCGACCCGCCUGGGGAGUACGGCCGCAAGGUUAAAACUCAAAUGAAUUGACGGGGGCCCGCACAAGCGGUGGAGCAUGUGGUUUAAUUCGAUGCAACGCGAAGAACCUUACCUGGUCUUGACAUCCACGGAAGUUUUCAGAGAUGAGAAUGUGCCUUCGGGAACCGUGAGACAGGUGCUGCAUGGCUGUCGUCAGCUCGUGUUGUGAAAUGUUGGGUUAAGUCCCGCAACGAGCGCAACCCUUAUCCUUUGUUGCCAGCGGUCCGGCCGGGAACUCAAAGGAGACUGCCAGUGAUAAACUGGAGGAAGGUGGGGAUGACGUCAAGUCAUCAUGGCCCUUACGACCAGGGCUACACACGUGCUACAAUGGCGCAUACAAAGAGAAGCGACCUCGCGAGAGCAAGCGGACCUCAUAAAGUGCGUCGUAGUCCGGAUUGGAGUCUGCAACUCGACUCCAUGAAGUCGGAAUCGCUAGUAAUAGUGGAUCAGAAUGCCACGGUGAAUACGUUCCCGGUCCUUGUACACACCGCCCGUCACACCAUGGGAGUGGGUUGCAAAAGAAGUAGGUAGCUUAACCCUCGGGAUGGCG
RNAcentral lists this ribosomal RNA (677 nucleotides) under Shigella flexneri. RNAcentral describes it as "bacterial SSU rRNA". It matches the Rfam family "Bacterial small subunit ribosomal RNA", at positions 776 to 1452 of the family's 1533-position model. Lineage: Bacteria; Pseudomonadati; Pseudomonadota; Gammaproteobacteria; Enterobacterales; Enterobacteriaceae. The record is from RNAcentral.